This 209-nucleotide ribosomal RNA is filed under the name uncultured bacterium. RNAcentral describes it as "partial 16S ribosomal RNA". It matches the Rfam family "Bacterial small subunit ribosomal RNA", at positions 524 to 734 of the family's 1533-position model. The record is from RNAcentral.
UACGUAGGGGGCUAGCGUUGUCCGGAAUCAUUGGGCGUAAAGAGCGUGUAGGCGGCCCGGUAAGUCCGCUGUGAAAGUCGGGGGCUCAACCCUCGAAUGCCGGUGGAUACUGUCGGGCUUGAGUACGGAAGAGCGAGUGGAAUUCCUGGUGUAGCGGUGAAAUGCGCAGAUAUCAGGAGGAACACCAAUGCGAAGGCAGCUCGCUGGGA